RNAcentral lists this unclassified non-coding RNA (249 nucleotides) under Hevea brasiliensis (rubber tree). Lineage: Eukaryota; Viridiplantae; Streptophyta; Magnoliopsida; Malpighiales; Euphorbiaceae. The record is from RNAcentral.
AGUGUCUUAGCAUUGAGAAAUUGUGAUAAUUUACUGCUCAAAUAGACUGAGUUUGAAAUUAGGAGAAGGCAAAGGAAGAAGAUGUGUUCCUUCGGAUACUAUAAUCAUUUUCUACUCAAAGAGAAUCAGUUCGAAAUGAGGAGAAGAUAGAGGAAGAAAAUCAAGCCCUUGUUGCAGCUAUUUGUUUGCCAAUGACUUUCCAUGUUGUUGGAUCCAAUGUGUUAGAAUUCCUUAAUUAGUGUAAAUUAG